AAGCUUAAGUUAACCUAAACUAGGGACCUUCAAAGUCCCAAAUAAGGCCCACACCCCUUAACUUCUG
This 67-nucleotide transfer RNA is filed under the name Pachydactylus vansoni. RNAcentral's name for it is "tRNA-Trp". The record is from RNAcentral. Lineage: Eukaryota; Metazoa; Chordata; Lepidosauria; Squamata; Gekkonidae.